GCGAACGCUGGCGGCAGGCCUAACACAUGCAAGUCGCACGGAUCCUUCGGGAUUAGUGGCGGACGGGUGAGUAACACGUGGGGACGUGCCCUUUGGUUCGGAACAACUCAGGGAAACUUGAGCUAAUACCGGAUGUGCCCUUCGGGGGAAAGAUUUAUCGCCAUUGGAGCGGCCCGCGUCUGAUUAGCUAGUUGGUGAGGUAACGGCCCACCAAGGCGACGAUCAGUAGCUGGUCUGAGAGGAUGAUCAGCCACACUGGGACUGAGACACGGCCCAGACUCCUACGGGAGGCAGCAGUGGGGAAUCUUGCGCAAUGGGCGAAAGCCUGACGCAGCCAUGCCGCGUGAAUGAUGAAGGUCUUAGGAUUGUAAAAUUCUUUCAGCGGGGACGAUAAUGACGGUACCCGCAGAAGAAGCUCCGGCUAACUUCGUG
This 432-nucleotide ribosomal RNA is filed under the name uncultured bacterium. Its description in RNAcentral is "partial 16S ribosomal RNA". It matches the Rfam family "Bacterial small subunit ribosomal RNA", at positions 29 to 507 of the family's 1533-position model. The record is from RNAcentral.